GCACGGUGAUGGAGCUGAGUGCC
This 23-nucleotide microRNA is filed under the name Equus caballus (horse). RNAcentral's name for it is "eca-miR-9169". Lineage: Eukaryota; Metazoa; Chordata; Mammalia; Perissodactyla; Equidae. The record is from miRBase by way of RNAcentral.